ACGGCUCAGUAACACGUGGCUAACCUGCCCUCGGGACGGGAAUACCCCCGGGAAACUGGGGCUAAUCCCCGAUAGGUGAAGAACUCUGGAAUGAGUCUCCGCCCAAAAGACGCUUAAAUCAUGCUUUUAGGCGCCGCCCAAGGAUGGGGCCGCGACCGAUCAGGUAGUUGGUGAGGCAACGGCUCACCAAGCCUUUAACCGGUGCGGGCCGUGGGAGCGGGAGCCCGGAGAUGGGCACUGAGACAAGGGCCCAGGCCCUACGGGGCGCAGCAGUCGCGAAAACUUUGCAAUACACGAAAGUGUGACAGGGCUAUCCCGAGUGCCAUCCGCUGAGGAAGGCUUUUACCCAGUCUAGAAAGCUGGGAGAAUAAGGAGAGGGCAAGUCUGGUGUCAGCCGCCGCGGUAAUACCAGCUCUCCGAGUGGUGUGGAUGUUUAUUGGGCCUAAAGCAUCCGUAGCUGGCCAAGUUAGUCCCCUGUUAAAUCCACCGAAUUAAUCGUUGGUGUGCGGGGGAUACUGCUCGGCUAGGGGACGAGAGAGGCCGACGGUAUUUUCGGGGUAGGGGUGAAAUCCUAUAAUCCCGAGAGGACCACCAGUGGCGAAGGCUGUCGGCUAGAACGCGCCCGACGGUGAGGGAUGAAAGCUGGGGUAGCGAACCGGAUUAGAUACCCGGGUAGUCCCAGCUGUAAACGAUGCACGCUAGGUGUUUGGGCGGCCACGUGCCGCUCUAGUGCCGCAGGAAGCUGUUAAGCCUGCCGCCUGGGGAGUACGGUCGCAAGGCUGAAACUUAAAGGAAUUGGCGGGGAGCAC
RNAcentral lists this ribosomal RNA (809 nucleotides) under uncultured archaeon. RNAcentral's name for it is "bacterial SSU rRNA". It matches the Rfam family "Archaeal small subunit ribosomal RNA", at positions 85 to 879 of the family's 1478-position model. The record is from RNAcentral.